Molecule: ribosomal RNA, 451 nt
Filed under: Peltodoris atromaculata
Lineage: Eukaryota; Metazoa; Mollusca; Gastropoda; Nudibranchia; Discodorididae
Description: Discodoris atromaculata partial 16S ribosomal RNA
Rfam family: Archaeal large subunit ribosomal RNA
Source: RNAcentral
AGCCUCAGGUAACAUUUGAUCUGAGGUUAAACCUGCCCAAUGUUAAAUCUAUAUAAAUGGCCGCGGUACUUUGUCCGUGCUAAGGUAGCGCAAUCAAUUGGCUUUUAAUUAAGGCCAUGUAUGAACGGAAUCACGGGGUUUAGCUGUCUCUUAGCUAAUUUAUCGAAAUUACUAUUUAGGUGAAAAAGCCUAAAUAAAGAAAAAAGACGAGAAGACCCUUAGAGUUUUUCUAAAAUCAAGAACAUAUUCUUGAAAAAGUUUAGUUGGGGCAACAUAGGAGCAAUAACAAUUCUAACCUCCUGUAAAACACUUACCGAUAUUGAUAAACAUGAAUAAACUACCUUAGGGAUAACAGCAUAAUUUUAUAAAUAAGUUUGUGACCUCGAUGUUGGACUAGGAAACUAAAGGGCUAGCCGCCUUUUAGGAAGGUUCUGUUCGAACUAUUAUUCCU